ACUGUCUCAACAACAGACUCGGUGAAAUUGUAAUUCCGGUGAAGAUGCCGGAUACCUGCGACAGGACGGAAAGACCCCAUGGAGCUUUACUGUAGCUUGACAUUGGGUCUUGGUACUACAUGUACAGGAUAGGUGGGAGGCUUUGAAACCAGGACGCCAGUUUUGGCGGAGCCAUCCUUGGGAUACCACCCUUGUAGUACUGGGACUCUAACCAUAGGCCAUGAAUCUGGUCUUGGGACACUGUCAGGUGGGCAGUUUGACUGGGGCGGUCGCCUCCCCAAAGGUAACGGAGGCGCUCAAAGGUUCUCUCAGUACGGUCGGAAAUCGUACGUAGAGGGUAAAGGCAAAAGAGAGCUUGAUUGCAAGACAUAACGGUCGAGCAAGGAUGAAAAUCGGACUUAGUGAUCCGGUGGUUCUGCGUGGAAGGGCCAUCGCUCAACGGAUAAAAGCUACCCUGGGGAUAACAGGCUUAUCUCCCCCAAGAGUCCACAUCGACGGGGAGGUUUGGCACCUCGAUGUCGGCUCAUCACAUCCUGGGGCUGUAGUAGGUCCCAAGGGUUGGGCUGUUCGCCCAUUAAAGUGGUACGCGAGCUGGGUUCAGAACGUCGUGAGACAGUUCGGUCCCUAUCCGUCGCAGGCGUAGGAAAUUUGAGAAGACCUGUCCUUAGUACGAGAGGACCGGGAUGGACGUACCUCUGGUGUACUAGUUGU
RNAcentral lists this ribosomal RNA (711 nucleotides) under Clostridioides difficile. RNAcentral's name for it is "bacterial LSU rRNA". It matches the Rfam family "Bacterial large subunit ribosomal RNA", at positions 2015 to 2724 of the family's 2925-position model. The record is from RNAcentral. Lineage: Bacteria; Bacillati; Bacillota; Clostridia; Peptostreptococcales; Peptostreptococcaceae.